ACCCUGGAGUCACGACAGUUGGAGAGCUAGCCCUCUCCCAUCACUGGCUAUAGCACUUGGGAGAGCGAAACCUGCACCUUGCCUGGACAACACAGUGGAGCUGGCCCUGAUUGCAAAGGCCUCGGACGUGUUUCUCAUGAUCCGGAGCCACAAGACCACCAUCUUUACGGACGCCAAGGAGUCGAGCACCAUGUUUGAACUGAAGCGCAUCGUUGAGGGCAUCCUCAAGCGGCCG
This 235-nucleotide long non-coding RNA is filed under the name Rattus norvegicus (Norway rat). Its description in RNAcentral is "long non-coding RNA NONRATT030764". Lineage: Eukaryota; Metazoa; Chordata; Mammalia; Rodentia; Muridae. The record is from RNAcentral.